AACGAACGCUGGCGGCGUGCCUAACACAUGCAAGUCGUGCGAGAAAGUUCCUUCGGGAGCGAGUAAAGCGGCGCACGGGUGAGUAACACGUAGGUAACCUGCCCCCCAGUCUGGAACAACUAGAGGAAACUCUAGCUAAUGCCGGAUGAGACCACGAUCCCUUCGGGGGGUUGCGGGCCCAAAAGGAUGGGCCUCUACUUGUAAGCUAUCGCUGAGGGAUGGGCCUGCGGGCCAUUAGCUUGUUGGUGAGGUAACGGCUCACCAAGGCUGUGAUGGCUAGCUGGUCUGAGAGGAUGACCAGCCACACUGGGACUGAGACACGGCCCAGACUCCUACGGGAGGCAGCAGUGGGGAAUAUUGCGCAAUGGGCGAAAGACCUGACGCAGCGACGCCGCGUGGGUGA
RNAcentral lists this ribosomal RNA (403 nucleotides) under uncultured bacterium. RNAcentral's name for it is "bacterial SSU rRNA". It matches the Rfam family "Bacterial small subunit ribosomal RNA", at positions 29 to 408 of the family's 1533-position model. The record is from RNAcentral.